GACGAACGCUGGCGGCGUGCUUAACACAUGCAAGUCGAACGGAAAGGCCCUGCUUGCAGGGUGCUCGAGUGGCGAACGGGUGAGUAACACGUGGGUGCUCUGCCCCUUACUUUGGGAUAAGCCUGGGAAACUGGGUCUAAUACUGGAAAGGACCAUGCUGUAGGUGGUGUGGUGGGAAGAUCAGUUUCGGUAAGGGAUGAGCUCGCGGCCUAUCAGCUUGUUGGUGGGGUAAUGGCGUACCAAGGCGUCGACGGGUAGCCGGCCUGAGAGUGUGGACGGCCACAUUGGAACUGAGAUACGGGCCGGACUCCUACAGGAGGCAGCAGUGGGGAAUAUUGCACAAUGGGCGAAAGCGUGAUGCAGCGACGCCGCGUGGGGGAUGACGGCCUUCGUGUUGUAAGCUCCUUUCAGCCAUGACGAAGCCCUUGUGGUGACGGUAGUGGUAGAAGAAGCACCGGCUAACUACGU
Molecule: ribosomal RNA, 468 nt
Filed under: uncultured bacterium
Lineage: Bacteria
Description: partial 16S ribosomal RNA
Rfam family: Bacterial small subunit ribosomal RNA
Source: RNAcentral